Molecule: ribosomal RNA, 503 nt
Filed under: uncultured Lachnospiraceae bacterium
Lineage: Bacteria; Bacillati; Bacillota; Clostridia; Lachnospirales; Lachnospiraceae
Description: partial 16S ribosomal RNA
Source: RNAcentral
CACGUAGUUAGCCGGGGCUCCUUAGUCAGGUACCGUCAUUUUCUUCCCUGCUGAUAGAGCUUUACAUACCGAAAUACUUCUUCACUCACGCGGCGUCGCUGCAUCAGGGUUUCCCCCAUUGUGCAAUAUUCCCCACUGCUGCCUCCCGUAGGAGUUUGGGCCGUGUCUCAGUCCCAAUGUGGCCGUUCACCCUCUCAGGCCGGCUACUGAUCGUCGCCUUGGUGGGCUGUUACCCCGCAACCAGCUAAUCAGACGCGGAUCCAUCGUAUACCACCGGAGUUUUUCACACUGCUUCAUGCGAAGCUGUGCGCUUAUGCGGUAUUAGCACCUAUUUCUAAGUGUUAUCCCCCAGUAUACGGCAGGUUCUCCACGCGUUACUCACCCGUCCGCCACUAACUCAUACAUCACUAGGUUUCAUAUGACGCCGUUCGACUUGCAUGUGUUAAGCUACGCCGCCAGCCGUUACACUCCUUGACGUCCGAGGAUCGAAACUCUCUGGAACG